This 387-nucleotide ribosomal RNA is filed under the name Triticum aestivum (bread wheat). RNAcentral's name for it is "partial small subunit ribosomal RNA". Lineage: Eukaryota; Viridiplantae; Streptophyta; Magnoliopsida; Poales; Poaceae. The record is from RNAcentral.
AUGUCCUUAUUUUUUCCCCAUAGCUAUUUUGUACUUUUAAUUAGUCCUGUAGAACGCAUACAAGUAGAACGUAUAGAAGUUCAUGAAGCGCCAUGUUUAUUUCCCUUUUCAAUUCAACCUGAUGUUACAUCUUACAUGAAAGCAGAACAUGCAUCCGAGAAGAAACUAUUGUUUCAUUACUACCAGAUUAUAGUACAGAUGGACAUCUACAUAAACAAAACAUACUUUACCAGAAAGAAAGAUCUCCUUCAAGAUAUACUCAGCAAUUCCUGCUACACCGAGGCACCCAAACUUCCUCAAGAGAACCCUACCUUUCUCCUUCAAGAUGUCCUGAAUUUUGAAGGUCUGUCCACAAAGCACCGGCCUGGACACAGACAUACGCCAUAA